UAAACUACGAUUAGAUACCCUAUUAUUUUAAACGUAAAUAUGUAUGCCUGAGUAGUAAUAGUUAUGUUCUUGAAACUCAAAGAAUUUGGCGGUGUUUUAGUCUUUUCAGAGGAACCUGUCCCGUAAUCGAUAAUCCACGUAAACCUUACUUAAUUUUGUUUCAGCUUGUAUACCUCCGUCGUCAGAAUAUCCUUUAAAGGUUCAAAUUUUCUUAAAUUUUAAUUAAAAAUGAUGUCAGGUCAAGGUGCAGCUUAUGAUUAAGUGGAGAUGGGUUACAAUAAAUAUAUUUAAUACGAAGAAUACUUUGCAAUAGGUAUUUGAAGGUGGAUUUGAUAGUAAUUCAAUUUAUUAUAAUAGUUUGAUUUUAGCUCUAAAACAUGCACACAUCGCCCGUCGCUCUUA
This 402-nucleotide ribosomal RNA is filed under the name Nemocapnia carolina. RNAcentral's name for it is "partial 12S ribosomal RNA". The stretch from base 50 to 402 matches the Rfam family "Microsporidia small subunit ribosomal RNA", at positions 752 to 1207 of the family's 1311-position model. Lineage: Eukaryota; Metazoa; Arthropoda; Insecta; Plecoptera; Capniidae. The record is from RNAcentral.